RNAcentral lists this ribosomal RNA (47 nucleotides) under Boeremia exigua var. pseudolilacis. RNAcentral's name for it is "partial 28S ribosomal RNA". Lineage: Eukaryota; Fungi; Ascomycota; Dothideomycetes; Pleosporales; Didymellaceae. The record is from RNAcentral. RNAcentral also lists the same sequence under 6 other names.
CUUGACCUCGGAUCAGGUAGGGAUACCCGCUGAACUUAAGCAUAUCA